This is a non-coding RNA of Paramisgurnus dabryanus, 1024 nucleotides long. NCBI's taxonomy places the organism in Eukaryota, Metazoa, Chordata, Actinopteri, Cypriniformes, Cobitidae. The record is from RefSeq and is a predicted model, not a curated record.
CGGGCGUCUAUUUGUGGGCACUGAGCGUGGAGGGUGAGUCUUGGAUAUAGAAAUGUUCACUUGAAGUGGUGCUGUGUAAUGCUGUGUAUUGCAGUGAGAUUGCUGUUGUCUUGUCUGACGUACCCCCGCCUCUAGUCACUCGUUCCUGAGACGACGAAGAGGAAGAACGGUCCUAGAGUAAGACCUGUACAUGAAUAUGCUGUGAGUGUGUUUCAGUUUUAAAAAUCACGGAGCGGCAUCUCGAAGUAUUUUCCCAGCCAAACGCUUGGCGGACUUGAGUUUAGGAGUGGCGGUGAAGAACUGUGCUAUCGACGGCGUGUGAGUAUUACCUAUAAUAUUGCUACCUUACCUGUGUCUUUUCAUCAUCACAGAGCUUGAGGCGAAGGAGAUCCGUCGGCCCGAGGUCUCGACGAAAGGGCGCCCCGGUCCAGUUUUCGAUUGACCAACGGGUCUCGAGGAAAGGGCAGCGCUCGACCCGGUGUGCCGGCGUGACGUUCUCGCCCCUCUGUAGACCAACGAGCUCGCCGAGAGGGUUUUGGCCCCCGGCGACACAGAGGAAACCACUGUCCAGUUGACGCAACGUGUAGGCCGCUAUCUCAUCUGUGGAGAGAAAGAGCCAGCGUGAACGCUGAGAUAUCGAAUUGUGAAGAGAGCCAUACCUACCCAAAGCUGUAGUCAGCGCAGAGGUGAGAGAACCAUUGGAAACCGAUUCAUUGUGCCUUUGUGUCCCAGCAGUCAUCUGUGGAGAGAAAGAGCCAGCGUGAACGCUGAGAUAUCGAACUGUGAAGAGAGCCAUAUCUACCCAAAGCUGUAGUCAGCGCAGAGGUGAGAGAACCAUUGGAAACCGAUUCAUUGUGCCUUUGUGUCCCAGCAGUCAUCUGUGGAGAGAGAAAAGGAGAGCCAACGUGAACAUGGAGAUAUUGAGCUGUGGAGGAGAGCCUGGAGUGGCUGUUAUUUUAAGUUCCCCUUUCCCCUUCCCUAUUUAAUAUUUUUAAGUAAUUUAAUAAAGUAUAUUUUAAUUUUA